GCGAGAGGCAAAAAGCAGGGGAUAACGACGGGAAAACUGUCGAUAAUACCAGAAGCGCUAUAAGAACAGUAUGAUGAAACAUUGUUCUUACAAAAGGGUUUUAACAAAGACCCACUCUUUGCAUCGGCCGUAUAUCUAUUAUAGUAGAAGGAUGUGUAUUGAACAUUCUUGCUGUUGAUGGAUACGGAGAAUUAGGGUUCGAUUCCGGAGAGGGAGCAUGAGAAAUGGCUACUACAUCUAAGGGUGGCAGCAGGCGCGAAAAUUGCCCAAUACAGACUCUGUGAGGCAGUGACAAAACAUAACAAUGAUGUGGUUGAUAAAACUAUGUCAAUUGGAAUGAGAACGAUUGAAAAGAUUUAACGAGAAACAAGAAGAGGGCAAGUCUGGUGCCAGCAGCCGCGGUAAUACCAGCUCUUCUAGCAUAUAUUAAAGUUGCUGCAGUUAAAACGCUCGUAGUUUGAAUUAUUUCGGCGCUUGGCGGCUGGACGAUUUAAUUUGUCCGGCAGUCAGGGGGCCGAAUUAAAGCUCGGGGUGGAGGCGAUUAAUU
This 547-nucleotide ribosomal RNA is filed under the name uncultured eukaryote. Its description in RNAcentral is "bacterial SSU rRNA". It matches the Rfam family "Eukaryotic small subunit ribosomal RNA", at positions 121 to 724 of the family's 1831-position model. The record is from RNAcentral.